AGUGAACGCUGGCGGUAGGCCUAACACAUGCAAGUCGAACGGCAGCACAGUAAGAGCUUGCUCUUACGGGUGGCGAGUGGCGGACGGGUGAGGAAUACAUCGGAAUCUACUUUUUUGUGGGGGAUAACGUAGGGAAACUUACGCUAAUACCGCAUACGACCUACGGGUGAAAGCAGGGGAUCUUCGGACCUUGCGCGAUUGAAUGAGCCGAUGUCGGAUUAGCUAGUUGGCGGGGUAAAGGCCCACCAAGGCGACGAUCCGUAGCUGGUCUGAGAGGAUGAUCAGCCACCCUGGAACUGAGACACGGUCCAGACUCCUACGGGAGGCAGCAGUGGGGAAUAUUGGACAAUGGGCGCAAGCCUGAUCCAGCCAUACCGCGUGGGUGAAGAAGGCCUUCGGGUUGUAAAGCCCUUUUGUUGGGAAAGAAAAGCAGCAGGUUAAUACCCCGCUGUUCUGACGGUACCCAAAGAAUAAGCACCGGCUAACUUCGUG
Molecule: ribosomal RNA, 492 nt
Filed under: uncultured bacterium
Lineage: Bacteria
Description: partial 16S ribosomal RNA
Rfam family: Bacterial small subunit ribosomal RNA
Source: RNAcentral